GUGCGGGCCCUGUGCAACAGGACUUCGUGAACCAUGUCAGGCGGGAAACCGAGCAGCAUUAAGCGAUAUGUCGUGUGUGCCGCAGCAAGCCUGCACAUC
Non-coding RNA from Ruminococcus sp. CAG:624, 99 nucleotides. It matches the Rfam family "Bacterial small signal recognition particle RNA". Rfam says of the family: The signal recognition particle (SRP) is a universally conserved ribonucleoprotein involved in the co-translational targeting of proteins to membranes. Archaeal SRP consists of a 7S RNA and homologues of the eukaryotic SRP19 and SRP54 proteins. The record is from Rfam. Lineage: Bacteria; Bacillati; Bacillota; Clostridia; Eubacteriales; Oscillospiraceae.